Molecule: ribosomal RNA, 497 nt
Filed under: uncultured bacterium
Lineage: Bacteria
Description: partial 16S ribosomal RNA
Rfam family: Bacterial small subunit ribosomal RNA
Source: RNAcentral
GAUGAACGCUGGCGGCGUGCCUAAUACAUGCAAGUCGAGCGGACAGACCUGUAUCGGGCUCCUCUGGCGUUAGCGACGGACGGGUGAGUAACACGUGAAUAACCUACCUAUAAGACUUGGAUUACGGCAGGAAGCCGUAAUUAAGACCAGAUAAUAUUUUUGACCGCAUGGGGCAGGAAUGAAACGCGGGUUUGCGAUCGACUAGAGAUGUAUCCGCUCGGCAUUAGCUAGUUGGUAAGGUAACGGCUUACCAGGGCAACGGUGCGUAGCCGAGGUGAGAGGGGGAUCGGCGCCAGUGAAAGUGAGCCACGGUACAGACUCCUAGGGGCGGCAGAAACAGGGACUCUUGCGCGAUGGGCGAAAGACUGCAGGAGCAACGCCGCGUGAGUGAUGCAGCUCUUCGGAUCGUAAAACUCUGUUAUUAGGGAAGACCACAUGUGUACGUAACUAUGCACGUCUUGACGGUAGUUAAUAAGAAAGCCACGGCUAACUACGUG